GAACCCACCCUUCCUUUCCCAGGAAGGGUGACACUAAAUUGCGAGCUUGAUACAUACGAUACGAUACCAUGUUGCCCACACGUAACUAGUUAAUUUCACCUACAGCUGUACUAGUCUCAUAAUCCCUUCUCGAACAUUCCACAUGGAGGACGGCCACAAUCAGCCCUCGCCGGCCGAAGAGAAUGAUGACAGCAGUUCCAGAGAAGAUGUCGGAAAGAUGCUUUACGGAUGUGUACAUUAUCGACGACGGUGUAAGCUACGAGCCCCUUGUUGCAAUGAAAUUUUCACUUGCCGUCACUGCCACAACGAUGCCAAGAGCGCUUUGAGCAAUCCCAAGGAACGUCAUGAACUUGUGCGCCACGAUGUUAAGCAAGUUGUAUGUGCUGUAUGCGACACUGAACAACAGGUUGCUGGGAUCUGUUCAGAGUGUGGUGUCAAAUUCGGGGAGUACUAUUGUGAAAUUUGUAGAUUUUACGAUGACGAUAGAACGAAGAGGCAAUUUCACUGUGAUGACUGUGGAAUUUGCAGGGUGGGUGGUCGAGGGAACUUCUUCCACUGCGGGAGGUGUGGAUCCUGCUAUUCAGUGGAUCUACGAGAUAAUCACUUAUGUGUGGAGAACUCAAUGAAGAACCAUUGUCCCAUCUGUUAUGAGUUUCUUUUUGACUCAGUUAAAGGCACCACAAUUAUGAAGUGUGGACAUACAAUGCAUAUGGAAUGCUACACUGAGAUGGUCCAUCAGAACCAGUAUCGCUGCCCUAUAUGCUCUAAGUCAGUUCUCAACAUGUCCAGAACUUGGGAAAGAUUAGACCUGGAGAUUGAAGCUACAGCCAUGCCUGAAGAAUAUCGUUAUGAGCCACCAAGCUGUGGAGUGGGAUCACAGAUACCCUUUUUUACUUUUCUCAAAUUUUCUUCUCUUGCUUAUACCGUAGUUGUUUCCCCCUUUUGACUGGCUUGGGGGGAUGGUAUUUCAAUGGAAUGGACUAAUUAGCAGGAAGGAGGGGUUUGAUGGUUUGGCCUGAAUCGUUGCUGGUGGAUGAUGGUAGGGAGUGGAGGGAUCUGAGGUUCCAAUUCUCUGCAAUGACUGCAAUCGUACUGGUAAAGCAUUUUUUCACAUCCUUGGCCACAAAUGCAAUCAUUGUAAUUCAUAUAACACCCGCAUGAUUGGUACGGGCGAAGAUCCCCAAUGACAUGGCUUGUGCA
Lycium ferocissimum is the source of this 1200-nucleotide RNA transcript. It is a transcript of the gene named E3 ubiquitin-protein ligase MIEL1, with no coding region annotated. The record is from RefSeq and is a predicted model, not a curated record. Lineage: Eukaryota; Viridiplantae; Streptophyta; Magnoliopsida; Solanales; Solanaceae. The transcript is spliced from 13 exons.